CGUGGGUAACCUGCCCAAGAGAUCGGGAUAACACCUGGAAACAGAUGCUAAUACCGGAUAACAACAGAUGAUGCCUAUCAACUGUUUAAAAGAUGGUUCUGCUAUCACUCUUGGAUGGACCUGCGGUGCAUUAGCUAGUUGGUAGGGUAACGGCCUACCAAGGCGAUGAUGCAUAGCCUAGUUGAGAGACUGAUCGGCCACAUUGGGACUUAUACACGGCCCAAACUCCUACGGGAGGCAGCAGAC
Molecule: ribosomal RNA, 246 nt
Filed under: uncultured Lactobacillus sp.
Lineage: Bacteria; Bacillati; Bacillota; Bacilli; Lactobacillales; Lactobacillaceae
Description: partial 16S ribosomal RNA
Rfam family: Bacterial small subunit ribosomal RNA
Source: RNAcentral